GGAAGAGUACUCUCACUGAUGCUUGAAUUCAAUAAGUGUUCAUCAAAAAUUUCACCGGUACUCUCAGAGUUCAGAAUAUCAACUUGAAUUGCACCUGAAGAUUCCCGCUUAAGGCUUACUUCCGUGUCAGGUAGCAUAUCACCAUGCACUGGUGAAUCUUCGUUGACAAAUUGUUCACCUUCUGUCUCUGGCUUCGCAUUGCUUCUGUGUGAAUCGCUUACAUCCUGCUUGUCAUUAGAAACAAGGGGAAUAAUACUCUCAGUACCUUCAACACUGUAUGAUUUUGUAUUUUCCAGUAUUUG
Molecule: unclassified non-coding RNA, 302 nt
Filed under: Hevea brasiliensis (rubber tree)
Lineage: Eukaryota; Viridiplantae; Streptophyta; Magnoliopsida; Malpighiales; Euphorbiaceae
Source: RNAcentral